This 829-nucleotide ribosomal RNA is filed under the name uncultured Acidobacteriota bacterium. Its description in RNAcentral is "bacterial SSU rRNA". It matches the Rfam family "Bacterial small subunit ribosomal RNA", at positions 19 to 880 of the family's 1533-position model. Lineage: Bacteria; Pseudomonadati; Acidobacteriota. The record is from RNAcentral.
CUGGCUCAGAAUCAACGCUGGCGGCGCGCCUAACACAUGCAAGUCGCACGAGAAAGUGGAGCAAUCCAUGAGUAAAGUGGCGUACGGGUGAGUAACACGUGGAUUAUCUACCUCUUAGUGGGGAAUAACCCUGGGAAACCGGGGCUAAUACCGCAUAAGCUCGAGAGAGGAAAGCAGCAAUGCGCUGAGAGAGGAGUCCGCGGCCGAUUAGCUAGUUGGUAGGGUAAAAGCCUACCAAGGCAAAGAUCGGUAGCCGGCCUGAGAGGGCACACGGCCACACUGGCACUGAAACACGGGCCAGACUCCUACGGGAGGCAGCAGUGGGGAAUCUUGCACAAUGGGGGAAACUCUGAUGCAGCGACGCCGCGUGAGCGAUGAAGCCCUUCGGGGUGUAAAGCUCUUUCGGCAGGGAAGAUUAUGACGGUACCUGCAGAAGCAGCUGCGGCUAACUACGUGCCAGCAGCCGCGGUAAUACGUAGGCAGCAAGCGUUGUUCGGAGUUACUGGGCGUAAAGGGUGUGUAGGCGGUUGCUUAAGUUUGGUGUGAAAUCUCCCGGCUCAACUGGGAGGGUGCGCCGAAUACUGAGUGACUCGAGUGCGGGAGAGGAAAGUGGAAUUCCUGGUGUAGCGGUGAAAUGCGUAGAUAUCAGGAGGAACACCGGUGGUGUAGACGGCUUUCUGGACCGUAACUGACACUGAAACACGAAAGCGUGGGUAGCAAACAGGAUCAGAUACCCUGGUAGUCCACGCCCUAAACGAUGCACAUUUGGGUGUAGGUCGUUCAGUCGAUCUGUGCCGGAGCUAACGCGUUAAAUGUGCCGCCUGGGGAG